Molecule: ribosomal RNA, 570 nt
Filed under: bacterium RBM-B13
Lineage: Bacteria
Description: bacterial SSU rRNA
Rfam family: Bacterial small subunit ribosomal RNA
Source: RNAcentral
GAAGCCUUCGGGCUUAGUGGCGCACGGGUGCGUAACGCGUGGGAAUCUGCCCUUGGGUUCGGAAUAACAGUUAGAAAUGACUGCUAAUACCGGAUGAUGUCUUCGGACCAAAGAUUUAUCGCCCAGGGAUGAGCCCGCGUAGGAUUAGGUAGUUGGUGGGGUAAAGGCCUACCAAGCCGACGAUCCUUAGCUGGUCUGAGAGGAUGAUCAGCCACACUGGGACUGAGACACGGCCCAGACUCCUACGGGAGGCAGCAGUGGGGAAUAUUGGACAAUGGGCGCAAGCCUGAUCCAGCAAUGCCGCGUGAGUGAUGAAGGCCUUAGGGUCGUAAAGCUCUUUUACCAGGGAUGAUAAUGACAGUACCUGGAGAAUAAGCUCCGGCUAACUCCGUGCCAGCAGCCGCGGUAAUACGGAGGGAGCUAGCGUUGUUCGGAAUUACUGGGCGUAAAGCGCACGUAGGCGGCUAUUCAAGUCAGAGGUGAAAGCCCGGGGCUCAACCCCGGAACUGCCUUUGAAACUAGGUAGCUAGAAUCUUGGAGAGGCGAGUGGAAUUCCGAGUGUAGAGGUGA